UGACAGUGACUUCAGCUGGUGACUCUGUCACUCUCCACACAGGGGUUGACUCGUCCAGAGUCGCCGACGCUGUGCUUGACUCCCCCCCGAUGGUGAUUUUCACUGUUGAUAAUGUACUUCUACCUGAGGAGUUGUUUGGAAAGUCUCCUUCUCCUGCACCAGCCCCCGAACCGGUGAGCGCACCUUCUCCUUCUCCGGCUACGACACCAAGUCCAGCCCCAGCUAGUGUUGAAGCCCCAUCACCGUUGGCCGCUUCUCCACCUGCACCACCGAUGGAAACCCCGGAAGGAGCUCCUUCAGAUGCGCCAGUGGGAUCGGAGAAUAGCACAGCGGACAAUGCAGGUAUUCACGUGACU
RNAcentral lists this long non-coding RNA (356 nucleotides) under Manihot esculenta (cassava). RNAcentral describes it as "long non-coding RNA (MESC_LNC002653)". The record is from RNAcentral. Lineage: Eukaryota; Viridiplantae; Streptophyta; Magnoliopsida; Malpighiales; Euphorbiaceae.